This 187-nucleotide ribosomal RNA is filed under the name Listeria monocytogenes. RNAcentral's name for it is "partial 16S ribosomal RNA". It matches the Rfam family "Bacterial small subunit ribosomal RNA", at positions 1 to 179 of the family's 1533-position model. The record is from RNAcentral. Lineage: Bacteria; Bacillati; Bacillota; Bacilli; Caryophanales; Listeriaceae.
UAUUUUAAAGAGAGUUUGAUCCUGGCUCAGGACGAACGCUGGCGGCGUGCCUAAUACAUGCAAGUCGAACGAACGGAGGAAGAGCUUGCUCUUCCAAUGUUAGUGGCGGACGGGGGAGUAACACGUGGGCAACCUGCCUGUAAGUUGGGGAUAACUCCGGGAAACCGGGGCUAAUACCGAAUGAUAA